AGCAGCCGCGGUAAUUCCAGCUCCAAUAGCGUAUAUUAAAGUUGUUGCAGUUAAAAGCUCGUAGUUGAAUUUCGGGGUCAGUAAGUUGGUCGUGCCACUGGUAUGUACUGGCUUUACUGAUUCCUCCUUCUUGUAGAACUGUGAUGUCAUUAAUUUGGUGUUGCAAGGAAACAGGACUGUUACUUUGAAAAAUUAGAGUGUUUAAAGCAGGCUAACGCUUGAAUACAUUAGCAUGGAAUAAUGAAAUAGGACGUUUCGAUUCUAUUUUGUUGGUUUCUAGGAUUGACGUAAUGAUUAAUAGGGAUAGUUGGGGGCAUUAGUAUUCAAUUGUCAGAGGUGAAAUUCUUGGAUUUAUUGAAGACUAACUACUGCGAAAGCAUUUGCCAAGGAUGUUUUCAUUAAUCAAGAACGAAAGUUAGGGAUCGAAGA
RNAcentral lists this ribosomal RNA (429 nucleotides) under uncultured Glomeromycotina. RNAcentral describes it as "SSU rRNA". It matches the Rfam family "Eukaryotic small subunit ribosomal RNA", at positions 569 to 1004 of the family's 1831-position model. The record is from RNAcentral. Lineage: Eukaryota; Fungi; Glomeromycota.